Molecule: ribosomal RNA, 775 nt
Filed under: Minisyncoccota bacterium
Lineage: Bacteria; Bacillati; Minisyncoccota
Description: partial 23S ribosomal RNA
Rfam family: Bacterial large subunit ribosomal RNA
Source: RNAcentral
CGUCCAUAGCGACGGCGAUGUUCGGCACCUCGAUGUCGGCUCAACUUAUCCUGGGGCUGAAGAAGGUCCCAAGGGUUUGGCUGUUCGCCAAUUAAAAAGUUACGCGAGCUGGGUUCAGACCGUACAGCAGUGAUCAGUGCAUAGUGAGCAGUGAUGAGAAUAUGAAAUAUUUUUUCUAACCACUACAUACUACACACUUGUAACUAUUGUACCGUCUGAAUCCUCAAACAUAACAGACAGAACAAAAUCAAGGUCUUUUCGUCUAAGAAAUAAUAUAUAAGAUAGAAUCAAUCACAUCACGGCGGUCGUGCAACGAAAUUUGCAUAGAUCCAGUUUGCUAUAUCGGUGAAACCCUACUAGGGCAAUACCGAGGGAAGUCAUACCUAGUGUGACCCCGUAGAGACUAAACGCAAACCAUCCUCGUCAUAUUCAUAUGAACGGAUGAAGAUAUAGUCCAAUGCAUUUGGUAACAAAUGAUAACAUGCGUGAGACAGGUUGGUCUCCUAUCUACUGCGGGCGUUGAUAUUUGAGGAAAUUUGUCCCUAGUACGAGAGGACCGGGAUGAACUGACCUCUGGUCUACCAGCUGUUUCGCCAGAAGCACCGCUGGGUAGCUAUGUCGGGCAUGGAUAACCUCUGAAAGCAUCUAAGAGGGAAGCCAAUUCCAAGAUCAGAUAUCAUAGGGUCCUGAGAGAUGAUCAGGUUGAUAGGCACUAGGUGUACGCACAGUAAUGUGUUAUAGCCGAGGUGUACUAAUUACCCAUCUCCUAUUAGGA